Long non-coding RNA from Mobula hypostoma (lesser devil ray), 2200 nucleotides. RefSeq lists it as uncharacterized. The record is from RefSeq and is a predicted model, not a curated record. The transcript is spliced from 4 exons. NCBI's taxonomy places the organism in Eukaryota, Metazoa, Chordata, Chondrichthyes, Myliobatiformes, Myliobatidae.
UCUGUGGACUGGACUGGCUUUGUGGACUUGCUCAGAACAUCAUUCGCUUGCAUUCAUUGCUUGCACGAUUUAGUUUUUCUCCCUGCUCAUUGAGUGUUUGAUGGUCUUUUUUUAAUGCAUUCUUUUGGGUUUCUUCGUCUUAUGGCUGACUGUAAGGAGACAAAUCUCAAGCUGCACCCUCUCUAAUAUGCUGGUAGAGAGAGUUUUAUUUGGGUUUUCUUCAGCGCUGGAAAUGGUUACAUCCUGACAAGCGGGACAGAAGCAAGGUCGCAUUGUGUAUUCCACGGAUCAGCAAAUUCCGGCCGGCUUAGCGAACAGAGCGGCAGACACCCCUGCUGAAAUCCCGGAGGAAAACACACAGAGGAUGCAGAGGGGGAUCACAAAGCCGAGAUGCUGCCUGACCUGCUGAGUUCCUUCUCCAUUUUGUGUGCGUUGCUAACCCAUAGAUCUUUGGAAUGUGGGAGGAAGCUGCAGCAUCCUGAAGAAAGGAACAUCUUCAUGAGGAGAAGAUACACACUCCUUACAGACAGAGAACUACAUAAUUUUAAUGUAGGAAAUGGUAUCCUCCAAUUACUGAGCUGAAUGACCAGCAGGCUUGAAGAUGACUAAACUGUUACAUCUGUCGUGAGGGGAUUUAGAUCACCGCAGAAUCUAACUCUGGAAAACCAACACUCUCCUUCAGUAAUUGAUGACAAGACCCCAAGGCAGGCUGCCAAUGAAACUUAAUAUCACAUGGUGGAUGUUGCAGUUUGGCCUGCUACAUCUCGGGUGACAGGAAUACAAGUAGCUGUCUGUGACCUACAGCAACCUGUCCUGUCUCAUGCUGCACCUGUUAAACGGCAGUCCACGAAUCCUCAGGCACGCCAAGCUCUCCCCACUUGGGGUCCGUGCAAUGGAGCGGCUGGUGGGGGAAGUGGGAAUUAAAAAUAGCAGGGGCCCUGUCAGAAAGAGGGAGGUGGUCUGAUUUAUGAGCCCCUGUCAGAUUACUGAUGCUUUUUUCUUACAGCGGUUAUGAUUGGAAAGCCUUCACCUGUCAAGGGGAUGGUGCGAAAAUAAAAAGCACGAGAUGAUUAAAUCCACAGACAUCAAGUCUAAUAACCAGCACCAAAAACAUCGAUGCAGUAAACAGGUUCGGAUCAACGAUGCAGUAAACAGGUUCAGAUCAAGGACACGUUUAUUUAUUACUUACUAAGCUGGGUGGAAGGGAGAGGGGCAGAGAGUCAUAGAAUUGUACACUGAGGGUGUUGUACAGCACAGAAAUAGCUUCCUCAGCCCAGAUCAUCCAUGCUGACAUAAGCCUCAGAUUCAGAUUCGAUGCCAUGGCAAGGUAGCGUUGUGGUCAGUACAAUGCUUUUCAGUAUAGGUGACUGGGUUCAAUUCCCACGGCUGCCUGUGGGGAGUUUGUACACUCUGCCCGUGACCACGUGCUCCGGUUUCCUCUCACAGUUCAAAGACGUGCCAGUUGGUAGGUUAAUUGGUCGUUGUAAAUUGUCUCGUGAUUGGACUAGGAGUAAAUCAGGAAUUGCUGGGCAGUGUGGCUCAAAGGGCCUGUUACUCGCCUGGUCUCAGUAAGUAAUAAAUCAAGCAACAUACAGAGAAAUGGCUCACUUGUGUUCACAAUUGACACAACCUAAGGAUAUGCUGGAGGCAGCCCGCAAUUCAGAUCAGAAUCAGGUUUAGCAUCAUUGGUAUUAUAUAGGCAUCCGUUAGUCUCAUGAAACCAUGGAUUUGCGCCUUGGGAGGUUUCCAGGGUGCAGGCCACGUGCCAACACACACACACACACACACACACACACACAUAUAUAUAUAUAUAUAUAUAUAUAUAUAUACAUACACACACACACACAUAUAUAUAUAUAGCUUGAAUAAGCAUUCUUGUUCAUUUAAAUUAUUCAUUACAGGUUUUCUGUAUAAAUAUGUGAAUUGCAUAUGUUAUCACGCUACCACGAGAUAUUUGCGUGCCUCGCUUAAAAUAAAGAACUAACUGAGACUCGCUUCUCUGGGCUCCUUGUUCUUCUUCAAAUUAGCUCAUUUCUGUACAGAAUAUGAUGAAUUUCUCAAUUUCAGGGGUAAUUAUUCUAGAUGGCAGCCUAAAUCCAAAUUUUUUUUCCCUGGUAAAAUCCAAUUCUUUCAUUUAGUUGUGUAAAUUAUUAACUAAAUGUCAUUCCUCCAAUAGGAUGUCCUCUGUAGAACACAUGAA